Molecule: transfer RNA, 74 nt
Filed under: Phrynosoma platyrhinos (Desert horned lizard)
Lineage: Eukaryota; Metazoa; Chordata; Lepidosauria; Squamata; Phrynosomatidae
Description: tRNA-OTHER
Source: RNAcentral
AGCUAGUGUGGUAUAGUGGUUUGAGCACUGGACUAUGACUCUGGAGAACCAGAGUUCGAAUCCCUGCUCAGCUA